RNAcentral lists this unclassified non-coding RNA (211 nucleotides) under plant metagenome. Its description in RNAcentral is "partial contains small subunit ribosomal RNA, internal transcribed spacer 1, and 5.8S ribosomal RNA". The record is from RNAcentral.
UUUCCGUAGGUGAACCUGCGGAAGGAUCAUUCAUAAUAAAGUGUUUUAUGGCACUUUUUAAAAAUCCAUAUCCGCCUUGUGUGCAAUGUUAGAUCUCGUCAAUCUUGGCGAGAUUUUUAUACAUCAACUCAUUUUUUAACUAAUUUGUCUGAAAAAUAUUAUGAAUACUUAAUUCAAAAUACAACUUUCAACAACGGAUCUCUUGGCUCUC